This 565-nucleotide unclassified non-coding RNA is filed under the name Hevea brasiliensis (rubber tree). The record is from RNAcentral. Lineage: Eukaryota; Viridiplantae; Streptophyta; Magnoliopsida; Malpighiales; Euphorbiaceae.
AUGUUAUUUGAGAUGUAUGACACACCACCAACUAGCAGCUUGGGGUAGGUGGUUAUCCUUAGCUGAAUGGUAGUAUAACACCAGUUUCCAUAACAGCUUAAAAAUGAGCCUUUUUGAGGGAUUUUGUGGAUAUAAGCCUCCUGAAGUUUCUUGUCCCAUUCCUGCUUCCACUUUUGUUUAGGCUGUGACUGAUAUUUUGCAGCAGAGGUAGCAGAUGACUGAAUUAUUGAACAACAAUUUGGCUAAAGCUCAGAACAGAAUUAAGAAAUAGGCAGAUAAAAAGAGGGUUGAGAAGGAGUUUCCAGUGGGAGAUCGGGUUUACUUGAAAUUGCAACCCCAUAGACUUCUCUUGCAAUAAGGAAGUCUCUUAAGCUCUCAACUAGGUAUUAUGGGCCAUUUCAGAUUGUUGUAAGGGUUGAGGCUGUAGCCUACAAGCUUCUUGUUAAAGAUCAUAUAUGAAUUAAUCUCAAAAAUAGAGAUUAAAGUAGAAUUAUAGAAGAUUGGGUGAGAAGAGAAUAGAGAUUGGAUGAGAAGAGAGUAGAAAAAUAUUGAAGAAGAGAGAAAA